RNAcentral lists this ribosomal RNA (465 nucleotides) under uncultured bacterium. RNAcentral describes it as "partial 16S ribosomal RNA". It matches the Rfam family "Bacterial small subunit ribosomal RNA", at positions 28 to 507 of the family's 1533-position model. The record is from RNAcentral.
GAUGAACGCUGGCGGCGUGCUUAACACAUGCAAGUCGAACGGAAAGGCUCCUGCUUGCAGGGGUACUCGAGUGGCGAACGGGUGAGUAACACGUGGGUGAUCUGCCCUGCACUUCGGGAUAAGCCUGGGAAACUGGGUCUAAUACCGGAUAGGACGAUGGUUUGGAUGCCAUUGUGGAAAGUUUUUCGGUGUGGGGUGAGCUCGCGGCCUAUCAGCUUGUUGGUGGGGUAAUGGCCUACCAAGGCGUCGACGGGUAACCGGCCUGAGAGGGUGUACGGCCACAUUGGGACUGAGAUACGGCCCAGACUCCUACGGGAGGCAGCAGUGGGGAAUAUUGCACAAUGGGCGCAAGCCUGAUGCAGCGACGCCGCGUGGGGGAUGACGGCCUUCGGGUUGUAAACUCCUUUCGCUAGGGACGAAGCGCAAGUGACGGUACCUGGAGAAGAAGCACCGGCUAACUACGUG